Bos indicus x Bos taurus (hybrid cattle) is the source of this 359-nucleotide long non-coding RNA. The record is from Ensembl. Lineage: Eukaryota; Metazoa; Chordata; Mammalia; Artiodactyla; Bovidae.
UGAGAAAUGAAGGACUAAGGUAUUAGCAGAUAAAAGCAAGGCCCUUGCUGGGGCCCUGGAGCCAAUGAAGCAGGCCCUCCUUGUGGGGAGAGAGAUUGAUAUUGACCGAAGACUGCAGGACUCCAAGAUGGCGGCAGCCACUCCAGUGAAAAGAAAGAAACUCACAGAUGUCAAAAUAGGGGAGCUGCCAAGCAGGAUAUGGAUGUGGGAUUUCACCCCAGAGACACUGUUGGAGCGUCUCAAAGCAGUUACUACCGGUUCUACAACAGGUAUGUCUAGUGAGGAAAAAAAGGUGUAACUGGGUUUUUCUGGUCUGGCGGCUUACAUGGUUUCCAACUAUCGCCUUUCUCACAAAGGAG